CCUACGGGAGGCAGCAGUGAGGAAUAUUGGUCAAUGGGCGCGAGCCUGAACCAGCCAAGUCGCGUGAGGGAAGACGGUCCUAUGGAUUGUAAACCUCUUUUGUCGGGGAGCAAAAGACGCCACGCGUGGCGUUCCGAGAGUACCCGAAGAAAAAGCAUCGGCUAACUCCGUGCCAGCAGCCGCGGUAAUACGGAGGAUGCGAGCGUUAUCCGGAUUUAUUGGGUUUAAAGGGUGCGCAGGCGGAAGAGGAAGUCAGCGGUAAAAUUGAGAGGCUCAACCUCUUCGAGCCGUUGAAACUGGUGUUCUUGAGUGAGUGAGAAGUAUGCGGAAUGCGUGGUGUAGCGGUGAAAUGCAUAGAUAUCACGCAGAACUCCGAUUGCGAAGGCAGCAUACCGGCGCUCAACUGACGCUCAUGCACGAAAGUGUGGGUAUCGAACAGGAUUAGAUACCCGAGUAGUC
RNAcentral lists this ribosomal RNA (459 nucleotides) under uncultured bacterium. RNAcentral's name for it is "partial 16S ribosomal RNA". It matches the Rfam family "Bacterial small subunit ribosomal RNA", at positions 338 to 795 of the family's 1533-position model. The record is from RNAcentral.